This 403-nucleotide ribosomal RNA is filed under the name Stenotrophomonas sp. STEP_sed_321. RNAcentral describes it as "bacterial SSU rRNA". It matches the Rfam family "Bacterial small subunit ribosomal RNA", at positions 55 to 454 of the family's 1533-position model. The record is from RNAcentral. Lineage: Bacteria; Pseudomonadati; Pseudomonadota; Gammaproteobacteria; Lysobacterales; Lysobacteraceae.
AUGCAAGUCGAACGGCAGCACAGGAGAGCUUGCUCUCUGGGUGGCGAGUGGCGGACGGGUGAGGAAUGCAUCGGAAUCUACUCUUUCGUGGGGGAUAACGUAGGGAAACUUACGCUAAUACCGCAUACGACCUACGGGUGAAAGCCGGGGACCUUCGGGCCUGGCGCGAAUGAAUGAGCCGAUGCCCGAUUAGCUAGUUGGCGGGGUAAGAGCCCACCAAGGCGACGAUCGGUAGCUGGUCUGAGAGGAUGAUCAGCCACACUGGAACUGANACACGGUCCAGACUCCUACGGGAGGCAGCAGUGGGGAAUAUUGGACAAUGGGCGCAAGCCUGAUCCAGCCAUACCGCGUGGGUGAAGAAGGCCUUCGGGUUGUAAAGCCCUUUUGUUGGGAAAGAAAAGCA